AGCUGUCUUUGGACUACAAGUCCCAUCAUCCCUAGCUAGCAGGACCAGUGGUCAGGGAUGAUGGGAGUUGUAGUCCAAAAACAGCU
Molecule: microRNA precursor, 86 nt
Filed under: Podarcis lilfordi (Lilford's wall lizard)
Lineage: Eukaryota; Metazoa; Chordata; Lepidosauria; Squamata; Lacertidae
Source: RNAcentral